UCAUGUGAAAACCAGCUAUAUACACAAGCUGUCGCAUACACCACGUAAUUUGAGUUUGGGAAGCCUGUGAUGGCGCUCGCCCACUCACUCACUCCAUUCUAAUUUUUAAACCUGGUUAAACAUUUUCUCCUACGUCCCCUGCUAAGUAUUGUUUUUGUCCAAGAGUGCUCAGUCGGCUUCAGAAAGGUUCUUUGACGAAGGGGGACUAGAAAGGCGUACAUUUUUGCCCGAUAAAUCGAGAGCCUGGGUACGAGUUUGUCGAACACCUCGAAAAUUGAAGUCGGACAUUUUGGUUUCAUAUGAUUUUCUUUCGUAAAUAUGUUGUUUUUUGCCUAUCGGCUUUUGCUCCGCGUAGAUGAAAGCUGUUAGAGGUAUUUAUAACCGUGGUCGUGCAUCGUUCACAACGACAUGGUCGGCGAGGUCAAAGAAUUGAUACAAGACACCCAUGAUGACAAAGCCAGAAAGUGACAUCGUGAUUAGCAUAUGGGGGAAGUUAAGCUCUUAGCUUUUUUUCUUGGCAAGAGAAUUUGAUGGUUUCCACUCGCUUUCUCUCGUUGUGGCGUCCAAGAGGCAAAAUUAUGGAUGCAGAAGAGGCAAGAAAGGCUACGGUGGAAAAUCGCAUCUCGUGUUCGUGCAAAAGCGCUUGUUGCACGAAACAGAAAACAAAUGCAAAUCGUGGCUGCCCUUGCAAGAUGUGAAAGUGAGUGUACGUGUGGUGCGACAGCAAAUCCGUGCCGAAAACACGGCUGGUGCAAGUACAACUUCAUUUGUGGCUGAAGAACACAGCCAUACCAGAGUGACAACAGGCCAAGUGAAGAGCAGGACAGGAUAAAAUAAAAUAGAGAUGUGAGGGUCUGCCUGUAUAGAAAUAUAUUUUUAUUUAUUUCUUUAUUGGUAUUUAUUCCAAGAACAAAACUAUGCCUAAAUACCGAAAAGACCACAAAAAUCAAAGCUCGAACACCAAUUCAAAUGCAUAAAGUUUAGCAAGGCAAGAUUUGUUUUGUUCCUACACUUGAUUUUUAUAUUUCUAGGCCCACUUGGCAAAACUCUGUGCUUGCUAGCAAGCUGUCAAACUUCUUUGACACAGUUGUUGGCUCUACGUAAAAUAAAUCAAUUACUUAAUUUUGUCAGCGCAAAAUAUUUUGCAAUACUGUACUUUAUUGGUGAUUACCUCCAUAAUGUUCUUCUAGGAAGUCAUUCAAAUGCUUGAUGAAGCAAUGUGUGCAAGCCGUGUGCCAGAAGCCUGCCUAGAAAAA
RNAcentral lists this unclassified non-coding RNA (1256 nucleotides) under Orbicella faveolata. Its description in RNAcentral is "uncharacterized LOC110062482, transcript variant X1". The record is from RNAcentral. Lineage: Eukaryota; Metazoa; Cnidaria; Anthozoa; Scleractinia; Merulinidae.